GUCAGUCUGCAGCUGAGCCCACAGUCCCCGACACCGAGCUGAACACUCCUGCCCGAGUCUGAAACACAGACAGAGAGAGAAGGAGAAAGGGAGAGAGAACGGGAUAGGCUGAAUGAAUGGAAUCAAGCAGUUGCUGACCAGAAGCAACGGAGGACACCUGUAUAUGCCGAAUGAGUCCAAUCAAUCUAAGGACAUCAUUAAGGUUGCUGGGUCAUUCCGUGGAUGACGUGAGGAGGACGGAGACCCCCCCUCCACCCAGCCCCACCACCUGUGUCUCUAUCUGCCGCUGUGUCCUAUGGCUUUUUAUUCCUAUAUGAUGUCAGAUUGGGCUUAUGUAGGGAUAGAAGCCACUUAACACACGGUGAAAGAGCUUCAUGAAGCAGCACGAGGAGAGAGAAAAAAUGGAAGUGUUCCAGUCCUAGUUGGCCUGCUUUACAAUGUCCCAUAUGCCUGGUACAUAUGGUUUGAUGAAUGUUUCCUGCUUCUGGUUUCAUGCUCCCUGUAGUAAGGCUACAUUUGUGCUCUUCCUUCAGAUAAUGAGUUAGCAGCUCAUUGAAGUGUUCAGAGAAGAGUGAGUCAGAGGCUGUUAUGGUUGUCGGUGCACCUCUUUUUGCUUCCAGGCACAAACGGCCUUCACCGUUUUUCAAUUUAUGAUGCUGUGGUGACAGCGGGGGUCUGCAGGGAUGGAUGUUGGAACAUUUGCAGAAGAUGCCAUAAACAAAAGGAAGAAACAAGCAUGGAGAAACCAAUGCAUAUUUUUAAUAACCAACUUUAAAAGAGGCACUAAGUGAACCACUUUACAAUACAAGAGGCAUUGCAUUUCCAUGUGUUUUCUCUCUCUCUCUCUCUCUCUCUCUCUCUCUCUCUCUCUCUCUCUCUCUCUCUCUCUCUCUCUCUCUCUCUCUCUCUCUCUCUCUCGCUCUCUCUCUCCUCUCUCUCUCUCUCUCUCUCUCUCUCUCUCUCUC
Oncorhynchus tshawytscha (Chinook salmon) is the source of this 965-nucleotide long non-coding RNA. Lineage: Eukaryota; Metazoa; Chordata; Actinopteri; Salmoniformes; Salmonidae. The record is from Ensembl.